Long non-coding RNA from Cavia porcellus (domestic guinea pig), 470 nucleotides. RefSeq lists it as uncharacterized. The transcript is spliced from 3 exons. NCBI's taxonomy places the organism in Eukaryota, Metazoa, Chordata, Mammalia, Rodentia, Caviidae. The record is from RefSeq and is a predicted model, not a curated record.
GGGAAUUCCAAAGAUGACAAUACAUGAUCAUAAGUCAGGAGUUCAACUGGAAUUAAAAGUAUGAAAGAGGAAGUGAAGCAGUAACUGCCUGCUGGCUCCAGGGCACGCAGAGUUCACACAGCUGGCUGACUGGCGGACUGGAACAACAUCAGUGUGAGCUCUCUUGGGCUUCCAGCUUGCUGGUUCACUCUGCAGAUCCUGGAACUUGCCAGCCUUGAUAGAUAACAAGUCACCACACGAUGCUGUGAGGAAGACCAAGGAGCACCACAAAGAGCCCCAGAUGGAGAGAAGUGCAGCUCUCUGGCCAGUUGCCCUGGGGUGUGCUUCCAUGAACAUUUAGAGCCAUCCACAGCCAAGUGGCUUUCCUUGGAAAUGGGUCCUCAAUCAAGAUCUCUCAGUUAACAUCACAGGCAGCAAAAAUGUGCCAUUCCUGCUGAGCCCUGUGCAAAUAAAAUGAUGAACCAAAUUCA